RNAcentral lists this ribosomal RNA (468 nucleotides) under uncultured bacterium. RNAcentral describes it as "partial 16S ribosomal RNA". It matches the Rfam family "Bacterial small subunit ribosomal RNA", at positions 28 to 507 of the family's 1533-position model. The record is from RNAcentral.
GACGAACGCUGGCGGCGUGCUUAACACAUGCAAGUCGAACGGAAAGGCCCGGCUUUUGUGGGGUGCGCGAGUGGCGAACGGGUGAGUAACACGUGAGUAACCUGCCCUUGACGUUGGGAUAACUUCAGGAAACUGGGGCUAAUACCGGAUAGGAGCUCCUGCUGCAUGGUGGGGGUUGGAAAGUUUCGGCGGUUGGGGAUGGACUCGCGGCUUAUCAGCUUGGUGGUGGGGUAGUGGAAUACCAAGGCUUUGACGGGUAGCCGAGCUGAGAGGGUGACCGGACACAUUGGGACGGGGAUGCGGCACAGACUACUACGGGAGGCAGGAGUGGGGAAGAGUGCACAAUGGGAGGAGGCAUGACGCAGCGCCGCCGCGUGGGGGAUGACGGCAUUCGGGUUGUAAACCGCUUUCGCCUGUGACGAGGCGUGAGUGACGGUAAUGGGUAAAGAAGCACCGGCUAACUACGUG